GAUGAACGCUGGCGGCGUGCUUAAUACAUGCAAGUCGAACGAAGGGAGGUGGAGGCUUGCUUCCAGCAAUCUUAGUGGGAAAGGGGAGUGUAACGCGGAUUACACCUGCACUUCAGUGGGGGAAAACAGGUGGAAACUACUUCUAAUACCGCAUACGUUCUAAUCUCGGCAUCCAGGAUAGAUGAACGGUCUCCUCUACACGUAAGCAAUGACUGGCGGAGGGGAUUGCGUCUGAUUAGCUAGUUGGUGGGGGAACGGCCGAUCAAUGCGAUGAUCAGUAGGCGGUCUGGGGGGGUGAACGGCCCCAUCUGGACUGGGACACGGCCCCAGCUCCUACGGGAGGGAGGAGUUGGGGAUCUUCCGCAAAGGACGAAAGUCUGACGGAGCAACCCCGCGUGGGGGAUUGCGGGCCUCGGGAUGUAAAGCUCUGUUAAUCGGGACGAAAGACCUUCUUGCGAAUAGGGGCAAGGCUUGACGGUACCGAAACAGAAAGCCACGGCUAACUACGUG
Molecule: ribosomal RNA, 510 nt
Filed under: uncultured bacterium
Lineage: Bacteria
Description: partial 16S ribosomal RNA
Rfam family: Bacterial small subunit ribosomal RNA
Source: RNAcentral